RNAcentral lists this unclassified non-coding RNA (268 nucleotides) under uncultured fungus. Its description in RNAcentral is "sequence contains ITS1, 5.8S rRNA gene". The stretch from base 220 to 268 matches the Rfam family "5.8S ribosomal RNA", at positions 1 to 49 of the family's 154-position model. Lineage: Eukaryota; Fungi. The record is from RNAcentral.
UCUCCGUUGGUGAACCAGCGGAGGGAUCAUUACGAAAGGAGUUUUCGGACUCUUAAACCCUUUGUGAACCUUACCUAUCGUCAGUUGCUUCGGCGGGAGGCCCCUGGGAGGGGCCCCGGGGCCCGGUCCUGAGCCGGGCUCCCGCCGGAGGAGCGCAAACCUAAACUCUUUGUUGCACCUCAGUGGAACCUCCGAGUAAAAAUAAAUAAAACAAGUUAAAACUUUCAACAACGGAUCUCUUGGUUCUGGCAUCGAUGAAGAACGCAGC